This 468-nucleotide ribosomal RNA is filed under the name uncultured bacterium. Its description in RNAcentral is "partial 16S ribosomal RNA". It matches the Rfam family "Bacterial small subunit ribosomal RNA", at positions 28 to 507 of the family's 1533-position model. The record is from RNAcentral.
GACGAACGCUGGCGGCGUGCUUAACACAUGCAAGUCGAACGGAAAGGCCCUGCUUGUGUGGGGUGCUCGAGUGGCGAACGGGUGAGUAACACGUGAGUAACCUGCCCUUGACUUUGGGAUAACUUCAGGAAACUGGGGCUAAUACCGGAUAGGAGCUCCUGCUGCAUGGUGGGGGUUGGAAAGUUUAGGCGGUUGGGGAUGGACUCGCGGCUUAUCAGCUUGUUGGUGGGGUAGUGGCUUACCAAGGCUUUGACGGGUAGCCGGCCUGAGAGGGUGGCCGGCCACAUUGCGCCUGCGGUAGGCACCAGAGUGGUACGGGAGGCAGUGGGGGGGAGUCUGGCCCAAUGGGCGCAAGCCUGAUAAGGAGACGUCGGGUGUGUAAAGACGGUUUUCGGGUUAUGAACCGCUUUAGCCUGAGACGAAGCGUGUGUGACGGUAAUGGGUAAAGAAGCACCGGCUAACUACGUG